GAACUCUCAGGAUUUCAUCUGGAGAGUUUCCAGUACUCUACCAGUCUCAACUACGGAAGGGAGAGUCAAGCAGAGACCUACCCAUUUCAUUCCUAGUUUGGGCAGUGACUAGUGAGUGGAAGGCAAUAUGUUACAAGU
Molecule: small nucleolar RNA, 138 nt
Filed under: Ornithorhynchus anatinus (platypus)
Lineage: Eukaryota; Metazoa; Chordata; Mammalia; Monotremata; Ornithorhynchidae
Source: RNAcentral